UCUUCCUCAAUUGUCUUCCUCGCUUUUCUUCCUCCACCACGGCAUUCAUCUCACUCUGUCGUUCCUCCUCUCAUCGACUAGCAUCAAUGCUGUGGUCCCCUGGAUCGCACCGUCUUCAUCUCCUCUUCCCUCCGGAUCUCCAGCACCAUCACCUCACCACCAGUGGCGAGGCCUUGAGAAAACCAGGAUCUACACGGCUUCUUCACCGGUGGGGACGAGGAGGCAAGGUCGUCGUUCGUCCCAGCAUCCCAAGCUCCGUCAUCUGCUGGCCCCACAUGCCCAAAUCGUGAGGACAAAAUGAUGAUUCUAAUCCUCGGCAUCUGGUGCGACUUCCUAGUGCGCACGAUUGCCGAUCUAUUUUGUGCUGUUAGCAGUCAUCCACAAGAACAAGUGCACAAGGGUCUGUACAAAAAUAGGUCAGUGGAUAUAGAUUGUUGAAAUGCAAAUUGAGGGUGUAUUAUUGACCUAUCCUUUAUGUUAUUGUGUUGCUAUGAUCUCUCUGAUAACCCUAGCCACAAAAGCUUUACUGCAGUUAUUGGACGCCAGCAUUGUUGACGAGUUAGAUUUUCAUCCAAGGAGAACUUUUCUGCUGGAUCAACUUUGAUAUAGAAGGAACUAAUGUAAUUGACAGAUGAUCAGAUAAUAAAUAAAGGUUUAUUAGACCAGAUGUAAGGAUUCAAGUGUCUUUUCAGAUUUUGUAAUCUAUGUUGUCAUCGACUCUUCAUGUUCACUAAUAAGAAUGCCAUUUGGGUUGUUGCUGAAUGCUGACCCAGCACCCCAAUGUUAAACCUCAAUGAACUGGGGGAAAUCUUGUUUAGUUUUUGCCUUUCCUUUUCUUCAAGUUGGCUGCAUCUGAUAAUCACACAUUGGUAUGCAGCUGUCCUGCAUUUGUUCUGACAGCAGUGAGCCAUAGGACUUAAUCUGCCAUAUGCUCAGCAUACCAUAUAAGAAUUAUGCAGAGCUUGAGAUGCUAACAUUUGACUGAACCUAAGAAUACAAUGCGAAGGCAUUUUAUGCCUAGAAAGGGCCAAGAUAUUUUCACCUAUGCAUUUACACACUUUUAGUUAAUAUAUUAUGUCCUGACACAGUGGUUGAAGCCAGCCACAAGGCUAUGAUACUAAUGUAGAAUGGGUUUUACAAAUAUGACACUCCAUCUUGAUAAUUGCAUUCUCCUUAGGUCUAUCUCUCACAAGAUAUGUCUAUUAUGAUGGGCUAACUUGAGCAGUGUACCUGUGGAUUAGGGAAAGCUGAAGACAAGAAUAAAGAAAAAAGUCAUCAGAUCUUAAUAUGAGAACUUCCCGUCCCAGCUUUUAUCAAAAAUGUCUGCCACUCUGUCAUGUCAGAGUUACUUGUGCAUGCAAUCCUUGAUACCUUCUUGUUCUUGAUGAAGUCUCAACAGUCCGAUGAACCACAUCUCUUUUAUGCAUCAGAGCAGUUUCUUCUCAUUCAUGUGAAUCAUAACCUUUGAUAAAACUUUCUCCUCUCUCAUGGGUAAUCUUAUCUAUUCACUAGAGGUCUGCCUGGUUAUUGAUAACCAUGAUCUUGUUUAGGGAUUACGUAACAACUUGUAUCAACCAAUAACAUUUUCCUUUAUUAGCAUGAUCCUAUAUCGGCCUAUCUUAUUUUUCUUAUAUAGAGUCUCCACACUAGUAUAUAUAACUUCUGAGAUGUACCGAAUAUGAUGUAACAGAGAAAUAAAAUUCUUUUUCUCUCCCUUUUUUUCUUUUGUUUUCCUCUUCUUUUGCAAAUAUUUUAACAUCACCGUUGAUUCAUGCAUGCAUUGCAUGCACAUCAUGUGUCUCUUCCUUGCUAAUUAUUGUCUAGCCUAGUCUUUGUGAUAAUAAUUUAGCAUCCAAUUACCAUUUCGCUUUGUUCACAGUAACUACACCAAGGAGGGAACACUUUAGUUAUAUUUAUCUAGACUUGGGCUUUAAUGGGAAUGAACUGCAACGAAUGGGUGCUGUGCAUGACAGUGGUUGAGAUGCUAACCUUUGACUGAACCUAAGAAUACAAUGCGAAGGCAUUUUAUGCCUAGAAAGGGCCAAAAUAUUUUUGCCUAUGCAUUUACACUCUUUUAUUUAAUAUCUUAUGUCCUGACAUAGUGGUUGAAGCCAGCCACAAGGCUAUGAUGCUAAUGUAGAAUGGGUUUUACAAAUAUGACAAUCCAUCUUGAUAAUUGCAUUCUCCUUGGGUCUAUCUCUUACAAGAUAUGUCUAAUAUGAUGGGCUAACUUGAGCAGUGUACCUGUGGACUAGGGAAAGCUGAAGACAAGAAUAAAGAAAAAAGUCACCAGAUCUUAACCUGAGAACUUUCUGUCCCAGUUUUAUCAAAAAUGUCUGCCACUCUUCAUGUCAGAGUCACAUGUGCAUGCAAUCCUUGAUACCUUCUUGUUCUUGAUGAAGUCUCAACAGUCCAAUGAACCACAUCUCUUUUAUGCACCAGAGCAGUUUCUUCUCAUUCGUGUGAAUCAUAACCUUUGACAAAACUCUCCCCUCUCUCAUGGGUAAUCUUAUCCAUUCACUAGAGGUCUGCCUGGUUAUUGAUAACCACGAUCUUGUUAGAGUGAUUUUAGGAAUCACGUAACAACUUGUAUCAGCCAGUAACAUUUUUUUUUGUUAGCAUGAUCCUAUAUCAGAAUAUAUUAUUUUUCUUAUAUAGAGUCUGUACGCUAGUAUAUAUAAUUCCUAAGAUGUACCGAAUAUGAUAUAAUAGAGAAAUAAAAUUAUUUUUCUCUUUUUUUCUUUUGUUUUCCUCUUCUUUUGCAAAUAUUUUAACAUCACCAUGGAUUCAUACAUGCAUUGCAUGCACAUCAUAGGUCUCUUCCUUGCUAAUUAUUGUCUAGCCUAGUCUUUGUGAUAAUAAUUUAGCAUCCAAUUACCAUUUCGCUUUGUUCACAGUGACUACACUAAGGAGGGAAUACUUUAGUUAUAUUUAUCUAGACUUGGGCUUUAAUGUGAAUGAACUGCAACGGAUGGGUGCUGUGCAUGACAGGCAAAUCCUUUUGCAGGCUGUGAUGGAGAUAUAUAACAUGUACAGAGCUCAAUUGCAUGCCAUGGCGUCUCAUGCAGGACCCCCCAUUGCUACGCCUUGAGAACGAGUCCUAUCAGAUAUGCCUUGCUCUGCUACAAACUAUUGUACUGAACAGAGCUCUUAAUGGGGAUGUAGAAGUGGAGGCAUACUUUGUUGACCUGUGCAGAGAGGUCCUGCAGGUUUAUCUUCACACUGCGAAAUCUGGGAAGCUUGUUGAAGUUUCAACUGGUUGCUAACCAAGAGCUCGUUGGCUUAUCCCUGUUGGUUCUGCAAAACGGAGAGAACUUGCAGCUCGGGCACCCCUUGUUGUGGCAACUUUUGAAGCUAUAUGUGGAUUAGGGGAUUCCUCUUUUAAGAAGAACCUGGCUCAAUUCUUUCCCUUUCUUGCAUCUCUAAUCAGUGUAGGUCCAGUGUUGCUUCGGUCCUGUUAAACCUGGCAGAAUCUCAUCAUACAGUACUUUGAGAUGUAUGAUAUAUUUUCAUUUAUAUGAGUCAGUUUUCCU
Molecule: long non-coding RNA, 3533 nt
Organism: Phoenix dactylifera (date palm)
Lineage: Eukaryota; Viridiplantae; Streptophyta; Magnoliopsida; Arecales; Arecaceae
Source: RefSeq, a predicted model, not a curated record